CAGCAGCCGCGGGAAUACGGAGGGUGCAAGCGUUAAUCGGAAUUACUGGGCGUAAAGCGCACGCAGGCGGUCUGACAAGUCAGAUGUGAAUUCCCCGGGCUUAACCUGGGAACUGCAUUUGAAACUGUCAGGCUGGAGUCUUGUAGAGGGGGGUGGAAUUCCAGGUGUAGCGGUGAAAUGCGUAGAGAUCUGGAGGAAUACCGGUGGCGAAGGCGGCCCCCUGGACAAAGACUGACGCUCAGGUGCGAAAGCGUGGGGAGCAAACAGGAUUAGAUACCCCUGUAGUCCCUGUCUCUUAUAC
Molecule: ribosomal RNA, 301 nt
Filed under: uncultured bacterium
Lineage: Bacteria
Description: partial 16S ribosomal RNA
Rfam family: Bacterial small subunit ribosomal RNA
Source: RNAcentral